This is a long non-coding RNA of Anarrhichthys ocellatus (wolf-eel), 1100 nucleotides long. RefSeq lists it as uncharacterized. The transcript has 2 exons. The record is from RefSeq and is a predicted model, not a curated record. Lineage: Eukaryota; Metazoa; Chordata; Actinopteri; Perciformes; Anarhichadidae.
CUCUUUGUCUGUCUGUUUCAGGAGCAGCAGAUGUUGAAGUUGCCAAAGAGAGACGGUCAGGAGUCUGUGAGGAACGUUCAGCUUCGAGACACAAACACUGCUCAGAAGUUGCAGGCGGCCAUAUCAGAUGCUCAAGUGGCGCAGCAGCAGCACCGCAUGGCGAGACAGAAGUCGCAGCGCUUCCUCAAGGCCAACUAGAAACAGUGAUGUCACCUCCUGUUCACUGCUGAUCUUUAUUACUUAUGAGAUGCAAAGGAAAUAUUCAUAUAAACGUGUUUUUCAGCGGUGGAGAUGAAUUUUAGUUUCUUUGUUUAAACUUCCUGUCGUCAGUUGGAAUCCAUCCAAAGAGCUGAAUCCGCAGAGGUUGUGGGUUUGAUUUCCACUGGAUGCUCUUAUUUUGAAGGUGGAGUUGUCCAAAGGGCUGGGUCAGCCGGGGUUUGGGUUUGUUUUCAACUGGAUGCUCUUAUUUUGAUGGUAUACAAAGUCACACUGCUGUGAGGCAUUCUGGGUAAAAAUCUGGAGUGGCUGGAGUCAUGUGACUGUUAUUGAAUGUAAUGUUUCUAAUCAAUCUAAUCAAUCAUCCUGUUUAUAAUUACUUAAAUCUAAGUUCUAAACAUUAAUGUGGAGACGAGUUGAGUUAUCUUUAUUUUUAUUUUGAUAUAUUUUUAUUUUAUUUUAAUAGGAGUCUCUUCAGUUUGAAGGUUUGGGGUAUUUUGUCCCUGCUGUUUGCCUGCAGGCUGCACUGUCUCAUGUUUGAAGAUGAAGCCAUAAAAACAUGUUGCACUAAACAAAUAUAGUAAUCUAGUUGUUGAUGAUGAUGAAGAUGAAGAAUGUUUGCUGGAGUUUAUCUUCAGAGAAAUAAACAAAAAUUUCACCAAAAAGAGAAUAAAAGACUGAGAAGAUUUAGACAAUCUGACUGUUCAGUUUGAUUCCUUCCUUCUGUCAUCGAUCGAUGAAUCCAAGGAUACCCGAGGAUAUAAUAGUUUACAUGUUCGCUUGUAUUUUUAUCGUCUGAAAUCUGUUUUUUAUCUUCAUUUUCAUGUUGAACUUAAAACGAAUAAGAUGAUGUAUAACCUGAAUAAAUGUCUAUAAAGAUAAAA